CGCGCAACCUCUGCAAUAGGCGAAAGCUUGACAGGGUUACUCUGAGUGAUUCCCGCUAAGGGGAUCUUUUGGCAUCUCUAAAAAUGGUGCAGAAUAAGGGGUGGGCAAGUCUGGUGUCAGCCGCCGCGGUAAUACCAGCACCCCGAGUGGUCGGGACGAUUAUUGGGCCUAAAGCAUCCGUAGCCGGUCUUGCAAGUCCUCCGUUAAAUCCAGCUGCUUAACAGAUGGGCUGCGGAGGAUACUACAAGGCUAGGAGGCGGGAGAGGCAAGCGGUACUCAGUGGGUAGGGGUAAAAUCCUCUGAUCCAUUGAAGACCACCAGUGGCGAAGGCGGCUUGCCAGAACGCGCUCGACGGUGAGGGAUGAAAGCUGGGGGAGCAAACCGGAUUAGAUACCCGGGUAGUCCCAGCUGUAAACGAUGCAGACUCGGUGAUGGGCCGGCUUUAUGCCAGCUCAGUGCCGCAGGGAAGCCGUUAAGUCUGCCGCCUGGGGAGUACGGUCGCAAGACUGAGACUUAA
Molecule: ribosomal RNA, 517 nt
Filed under: uncultured archaeon
Lineage: Archaea
Description: bacterial SSU rRNA
Rfam family: Archaeal small subunit ribosomal RNA
Source: RNAcentral